CUACGGGAGGCAGCAGUGGGGAAUAUUGCACAAUGGAGGAAACUCUGAUGCAGCAACGCCGCGUGGAGGAUGACACUUUUCGGAGCGUAAACUCCUUUUAUAUAGGAAGAAGAUGACGGUACUAUAUGAAUAAGCGCCGGCUAACUCCGUGCCAGCAGCCGCGGUAAUACGGCGGGCGCAAGCGUUACUCGGAAUCACUGGGCGUAAAGAGCGUGUAGGCGGAUUAAAAAGUCAGAAGUGAAAUCCUAUAGCUUAACAAUAGAACUGCUUCUGAAACUCUUAAUCUAGAAUAUGGGAGAGGUAGAUGGAAUUUCUGGUGUAGGGGUAAAAUCCGUAGAGAUCAGAAGGAAUACCGAUUGCGAAGGCGAUCUACUAGAACAUUAUUGACGCUGAGACGCGAAAGCGUGGGGAGCAAACAGGAUUAGAUACCCCCGUAGUC
RNAcentral lists this ribosomal RNA (439 nucleotides) under uncultured bacterium. Its description in RNAcentral is "partial 16S ribosomal RNA". It matches the Rfam family "Bacterial small subunit ribosomal RNA", at positions 339 to 795 of the family's 1533-position model. The record is from RNAcentral.